AUACUUAUCACACGAACAUGAUACAUAUGUCUAAUGAAAGCCUGAAAUGUCUACUUUUAGAUAAGGUAAAUACAGUUCAGGGAGGCAAAUAUUGUCUUUUUGUGUAAUCUGUAUGUAAGUAAAGAGAGAUACAGCGUGCGCGCCAUUCAUAUGAAAAUUACCUAAGCGGGCUAUGCUAACAAGAUCAAUGCCCCCAAACAAUGCUAUAAGAAGCACAAAGUUUUAAUAGAUUCAUUCACUUAUCGACGAUUAGAAAAAGGAAGGAAGAGCAGGACUCAGACGACGAAUGUUUGUAUUAUAUACUGUACUGUAUACAGACUAUUUGCAAGCAGAUAUUAAGAGCGACUUUAUAGAAACAUCUCGUUCUUAUUAAGCUGUAUGCUGAUUAAUGUAAUGUGAAUAUACAAUAUGUUAUAUAGCAAUAUCACUAUUUAGAAUAUAUUUUGACUAGUGUUUAUGCCUCAACUAGUCUUGUUUACGUGACUAUCUGUUCGGGUGUAAAUGUAUCGAUGUGGUGCCAGGAGAUAUGUCACAUGUUAAUGUUUAGUCAUAAAUAUGUCCGGUAAUGGCCCGUUAACAAACAUAUACAGCGUAUCUCUGUACCCAAUUAUCUUAUCUCAGCUAUGCUUAACUGCCUAAGUUAUUGCUUUAUAAGUUUGUUACUGUGGAAAAUACAUUAUAUUAAUUAUUAAAAACUUUUGUAGGAAUGUGUCUGCAUCACUCUUGUCUUCACCUACACGGGGGCACGCAGCAAGUCAAGUCAAGUCCAGUCAAUAAGCUUUUAUUGUAAUUUCAACCAUAUAUAGCUGUUGCAGUACACAGUGAAAUGAGAUAACGUUUCUCCAGGAUCAAGGUGCAACGAGAACAAUAAAGAGUUUUUUUCUAUUAUGCGUGCAGAAUAUUUGUAUUACUGAUGAGGAAAAUACAUUAUAUUAAUUGUGUUGCUUUGUAUUUUGAAAAUACAUGAUACUAAUUAUGAUUAGUAUCAAUUUUUUAGGAAUGUGGCUGCAAAACGUUCUUCGUCUGAUACUGGCACGAGGGCACGCAGCAACGCGACCGACAUUCAUCCAGUGUAAGCCACAUUUACCAUUUUUCAUGUUCCCAGUAUUAGUAAUACCGGUGUGUUGCUUUGUACUUUGGAAAUACAUGAUACUAAUUAUGAUCUCUUUUUAGGAAUGUGGCUGCAACACGUUCACCUUCGUCUGAUACUCGCACGAGGGCACGCAGCAAAGCAACUGGGAACAAAAAAGACUAUGUUCACUCUUGAAUGUGUCUGCAUCACCUUUACCUGCUACUUACACACGCCGUAGGUCUCUUUCAGUUCUCAAAGCAACUGAGACUAAUUUAUUUAACACUGACAGUGAUAAUGCACCUGUUGCAAAGAGACUCAAGACCAACAUCCAGGCAAGCAGCAGGCAGUCCGUUCUGUCAUGCAAAACAUGUAAUGUUCCCUUGUGUGUUCAGUUAAAUAGGAACUGUUUUGAACAAUGGCAUGACAACAUUUAACAAAUUUAUAUUUAUAUAAACAUUUAAUUUAUAUGUAAAGUAUUUUUAGAUGCACACCAAACUGUAC
Tachysurus fulvidraco (yellow catfish) is the source of this 1573-nucleotide long non-coding RNA. RefSeq lists it as uncharacterized. Lineage: Eukaryota; Metazoa; Chordata; Actinopteri; Siluriformes; Bagridae. The transcript has 3 exons. The record is from RefSeq and is a predicted model, not a curated record.